UACCCUCGGGAGGGGGAUAACCCCGGGAAACUGGGGCUAAUCCCCCAUAGGCCUGAGGUACUGGAAGGUCCUCAGGCCGAAAGGGGCUCUGCCCGCCCGAGGAUGGGCCGGCGGCCGAUUAGGUAGUUGGUGGGGUAACGGCCCACCAAGCCGAAGAUCGGUACGGGCCAUGAGAGUGGGAGCCCGGAGAUGGACACUGAGACACGGGUCCAGGCCCUACGGGGCGCAGCAGGCGCGAAACCUCCGCAAUGCUCGAAAGAGCGACGGGGGNACCCCCAGUGCCGUGGCAUCGCCACGGCUUUUCCGGAGUGUAAAGAGCUCCGGGAAUAAGGGCUGGGCAAGGCCGGUGGCAGCCGCCGCGGUAAUACCGGCGGCCCGAGUGGUGGCCGCUAUUAUUGGGCCUAAAGCGUCCGUAGCCGGGCCAGUAAGUCCCUGGCGAAAUCCCACGGCUCAACCGUGGGGCUUGCUGGGGAUACUGCUGGCCUUGGGACCGGGAGAGGCGGAGGGUACUCCUGGGGUAGGGGUGAAAUCCUAUAAUCCCAGGAGGAUCGCCAGUGGCGAAGGCGCUCCGCUGGAACGGGUCCGACGGUGAGGGACGAAGGCCAGGGGAGCGAACCGGAUUANAUACCCGGGUAGUCCUGGCUGUAAAGGAUGCGGGCUAGGUGUCGGGUGAGCUUCNAGCUCNCCCGGUG
This 692-nucleotide ribosomal RNA is filed under the name uncultured archaeon. Its description in RNAcentral is "bacterial SSU rRNA". It matches the Rfam family "Archaeal small subunit ribosomal RNA", at positions 110 to 800 of the family's 1478-position model. The record is from RNAcentral.